This 69-nucleotide transfer RNA is filed under the name Hyloxalus insulatus. RNAcentral describes it as "tRNA-Val". It matches the Rfam family "tRNA". From Rfam's summary of the family: Transfer RNA (tRNA) molecules are approximately 80 nucleotides in length. Their secondary structure includes four short double-helical elements and three loops (D, anti-codon, and T loops). The record is from RNAcentral. Lineage: Eukaryota; Metazoa; Chordata; Amphibia; Anura; Dendrobatidae.
CAAAAUGUAGCUUAAUUAAAGCAUUUCGCUUACACCGAAACUAUAUCUGUGGAACUCUGAUCAUUUUGA